This 164-nucleotide ribosomal RNA is filed under the name uncultured bacterium. RNAcentral describes it as "partial 16S rRNA". It matches the Rfam family "Bacterial small subunit ribosomal RNA", at positions 355 to 511 of the family's 1533-position model. The record is from RNAcentral.
UAGGGAAUCUUCGGCAAUGGACGAAAGUCUGACCGAGCAACGCCGCGUGAGUGAAGAAGGUUUUCGGAUCGUAAAACUCUGUUGUUGGAGAAGAACAAGGGUGAGAGUAACUGUUCACCCCUUGACGGUAUCUAACCAGAAAGCCACGGCUAACUACGUGCCAG